CUAGGAGAACCGAAAACAGUUCUAGACUGACCUGCGGUUUUAUAGCACUUUGGCAGUCAACUUCAGCUUGUGUCAGAGCAGACAUGACAGAGCUGCCCAGCGCUUAAUCGCGGGACGCCACCUCCUCGGACUCACUGCAGCCCCCCCCCCCCCCCCCCCCCAGCCCCUGCUUGCAGAAAUACACAUAGAAAGC
This is a non-coding RNA of Nestor notabilis (Kea), 193 nucleotides long. The record is from Rfam. Lineage: Eukaryota; Metazoa; Chordata; Aves; Psittaciformes; Psittacidae.